This 173-nucleotide unclassified non-coding RNA is filed under the name soil metagenome. RNAcentral describes it as "partial contains 5.8S ribosomal RNA, internal transcribed spacer 2, and large subunit ribosomal RNA". The record is from RNAcentral.
AACGCACGAGACCUGCGGACCUGCGGAGGGAUCAUUACAGAAUACCCCUCCGGGGGCUUUCUCAACCCAUGUUUACCCCCUUGUGUUUUGGCAGCUUCGGCUGCCAACAUAACUCUUCUGUAUUGUCGUCUGAGUAACAUACAAAUAUUUAAAACUUUCAACAAUGGAUCUCU